Molecule: ribosomal RNA, 497 nt
Filed under: uncultured bacterium
Lineage: Bacteria
Description: partial 16S ribosomal RNA
Rfam family: Bacterial small subunit ribosomal RNA
Source: RNAcentral
GAUGAACGCUGGCGGCGUGCCUAAUACAUGCAAGUCGAGCGAACAGACGAGGAGCUUGCUCCUUUGACGUUAGCGGCGGACGGGUGAGUAACACGUGGGUAACCUACCUAUAAGACUGGGAUAACUUCGGGAAACCGGAGCUAAUACCGGAUAAUAUUUCGAACCGCAUGGUUCGAUAGUGAAAGAUGGCUUUGCUAUCACUUAUAGAUGGACCUGCGCCGUAUUAGCUAGUUGGUAAGGUAACGGCUUACCAAGGCAACGAUACGUAGCCGACCUGAGAGGGUGAUCGGCCACACUGGAACUGAGACACGGUCCAGACUCCCACGGGAGGCAGCAGUAGGGAAUCUUCCGCAAUGGGCGAAAGCCUGACGGAGCAACGCCGCGUGAGUGAUGAAGGUCUUCGGAUCGUAAAACUCUGUUAUUAGGGAAGAACAAACGUGUAAGUAACUGUGCACGUCUUGACGGUACCUAAUCAGAAAGCCACGGCUAACUACGUG